RNAcentral lists this ribosomal RNA (558 nucleotides) under Hanseniaspora opuntiae. Its description in RNAcentral is "partial large subunit ribosomal RNA". It matches the Rfam family "Eukaryotic large subunit ribosomal RNA", at positions 85 to 656 of the family's 3401-position model. Lineage: Eukaryota; Fungi; Ascomycota; Saccharomycetes; Saccharomycodales; Saccharomycodaceae. The record is from RNAcentral.
AACGGGCGAGUGAAGCGGUAAAAGCUCAAAUUUGAAAUCUGGUACUUUCAGUGCCCGAGUUGUAUUUGUAGAAUUUGUCUUUGAUUAGGUCCUUGUCUAUGUUCCUUGGAACAGGACGUCAUAGAGGGUGAGAAUCCCGUUUGGCGAGGAUACCUUUUCUCUGUAAGACUUUUUCGAAGAGUCGAGUUGUUUGGGAAUGCAGCUCAAAGUGGGUGGUAAAUUCCAUCUAAAGCUAAAUAUUGGCGAGAGACCGAUAGCGAACAAGUACAGUGAUGGAAAGAUGAAAAGAACUUUGAAAAGAGAGUGAAAAAGUACGUGAAAUUGUUGAAAGGGAAGGGCAUUUGAUCAGACAUGGUGUUUUUUGCAUGCACUCGCCUCUCGUGGGCUUGGGCCUCUCAAAAAUUUCACUGGGCCAACAUCAAUUCUGGCAGUAGGAUAAAUCAUUAAGAAUGUAGCUACCUCGGUAGUGUUAUAGCUUAUUGGAAUACUGCUAGCUGGGAUUGAGGACUGCGCUUCGGCAAGGAUGUUGGCAUAAUGGGUUAAAUGCCGCCCGUCUUG